RNAcentral lists this ribosomal RNA (497 nucleotides) under uncultured bacterium. Its description in RNAcentral is "partial 16S ribosomal RNA". It matches the Rfam family "Bacterial small subunit ribosomal RNA", at positions 28 to 507 of the family's 1533-position model. The record is from RNAcentral.
GAUGAACGCUGGCGGCGUGCCUAAUACAUGCAAGUCGAGCGAACGGACGAGAAGCUUGCUUUUCUGAUGUUAGCGGCGGACGGGUGAGUAACACGUGGAUAACCUACCUAUAAGACUGGGAUAACUUCGGGAAACCGGAGCUAAUACCGGAUAAUAUUUUGAACCGCAUGGUUCAAAAGUGAAAGACGGUCUUGCUGUCACUUAUAGAUGGAUCCGCGCUGCAUUAGCUAGUUGGUAAGGUAACGGCUUACCAAGGCAACGAUGCAUAGCCGACCUGAGAGUGUGAUCGGCCACACUGGAACUGAGACACGGUCCAGACUCCUACGGGAGGCAGCAGUAGGGAAUCUUCCGCAAUGGGCGAAAGCCUGACGGAGCAACGCCGCGUGAGUGAUGAAGGUCUUCGGAUCGUAAAACUCUGUUAUUAGGGAAGAACAUAUGUGUAAGUAACUGUGCACAUCUUGACGGUACCUAAUCAGAAAGCCACGGCUAACUACGUG